RNAcentral lists this ribosomal RNA (358 nucleotides) under uncultured Desulfocapsa sp. Its description in RNAcentral is "bacterial SSU rRNA". It matches the Rfam family "Bacterial small subunit ribosomal RNA", at positions 1021 to 1382 of the family's 1533-position model. Lineage: Bacteria; Pseudomonadati; Thermodesulfobacteriota; Desulfobulbia; Desulfobulbales; Desulfocapsaceae. The record is from RNAcentral.
GAGGAAUUCGGAGACAGGUGCUGCAUGGCUGUCGUCAGCUCGUGUCGUGAGAUGUUGGUUAAGUCCGCAACGAGCGCAACCCUUGUCUUUAGUUGCCAUCAUUAAGUUGGGCACUCUAAAGAGACUGCCGGUGUCAAACCGGAGGAAGGUGGGGAUGACGUCAAGUCCUCAUGGCCUUUAUGACCAGGGCUACACACGUACUACAAUGGCAGGUACAAAGGGCAGCCACUUAGCGAUAAGGCGCGAAUCCCGUAAAACCUGUCUCAGUCCGGAUUGGAGUCUGCAACUCGACUCCAUGAAGUUGGAAUCGCUAGUAAUCGCAGAUCAGCACGCUGCGGUGAAUACGUUCCCGGGCCUU